GACGAACGCUGGCGGCGUGCCUAAUACAUGCAAGUCGAACGAAGCUGUUUUAACUGGUGCUUGCACCGACUUAAACAACUGAGUGGCGAACGGGUGAGUAACACGUGGGUAACCUGCCCCAAAGCGGGGGAUAACAUUUGGAAACAGAUGCUAAUACCGCACAACCACAGAAACCACAUGGUUUCUGUGUCAAAGAUGGUUUCGGCUAUCACUUUGGGAUGGACCCGCGGCGUAUUAGCUAGUUGGUAAGGUAAUGGCUUACCAAGGCAAUGAUACGUAGCCGAACUGAGAGGUUGAUCGGCCACAUUGGGACUAAGACACGGCCCAAACUCCUACGGGAGGCAGCAGUAGGGAAUCUUCCACAAUGGACGAAAGUCUGAUGGAGCAACGCCGCGUGAGUGAAGAAGGUUUUCGGAUCGUAAAACUCUGUUGUCAGAGAAGAACGUGUGCGAGAGUAACUGUUCGUGCAGUGACGGUAUCUGGCCAGAAAGCCACGGCUAACUACGUGCCAGCAGCCGCCGUAA
RNAcentral lists this ribosomal RNA (524 nucleotides) under uncultured bacterium. Its description in RNAcentral is "partial 16S ribosomal RNA". It matches the Rfam family "Bacterial small subunit ribosomal RNA", at positions 28 to 523 of the family's 1533-position model. The record is from RNAcentral.